GAUGAAGAACGCAGCGAAAUGCGAUACGUAAUGUGAAUUGCAGAAUUCAGUGAAUCAUCGAAUCUUUGAACGCAAAUUGCGCUCCCUGGUAUUCCGGAGAGCAUGCUUGUUUGAGUAUCAGUAAACACCUCAACUUCCAUAUCUUUUUUGAAAUGGGAGUUGGACUUGAGUGAUCCCAACGCUUUUCCUCACCGAAAAGUGGCGGGUUACUUGAAAUGCAGGUGCAGCUGGACUUUUCUCUGAGCUAUAAGCAUAUCUAUUUAGUCUGCCUAAAAACAGAUUAUUACCUUUGCUGCAGCUAACAUAAAGGAGAUUAGUUCUUGUGCUGACUGAUGCAGGAUUCACAAAGACAGGCUUCGGCCGACUUUGUAAACUCGAUCUCAAAUCAAGUAAGACUACCCGCUGAACUUAAGCAUAUCAAUAAGCGGAGGA
RNAcentral lists this unclassified non-coding RNA (432 nucleotides) under soil metagenome. Its description in RNAcentral is "partial contains 5.8S ribosomal RNA, internal transcribed spacer 2, and large subunit ribosomal RNA". The stretch from base 1 to 120 matches the Rfam family "5.8S ribosomal RNA", at positions 35 to 154 of the family's 154-position model. The record is from RNAcentral.